This 496-nucleotide ribosomal RNA is filed under the name uncultured bacterium. RNAcentral describes it as "partial 16S ribosomal RNA". It matches the Rfam family "Bacterial small subunit ribosomal RNA", at positions 29 to 507 of the family's 1533-position model. The record is from RNAcentral.
AUGAACGCUGGCGGCGUGCCUAAUCCCUGCAAGUCGCGCGAACAGACGAGGAGCUUGCUCCUCUGACGUUAGCGGCGGACGGGUGAGUAACACGUGGAUAACCUACCUAUAAGACUGGGAUAACUUCGGGAAACCGGAGCUAAUACCGGAUAAUAUAUUGAACCGCAUGGUUCAAUAGUGAAAGACGGUUUUGCUGUCACUUAUAGAUGGAUCCGCGCCGCAUUAGCUAGUUGGUAAGGUAACGGCUUACCAAGGCGACGAUGCGUAGCCGACCUGAGAGGGUGAUCGGCCACACUGGAACUGAGACACGGUCCAAACUCCUACGGGAGGCAGCAGUAGGGAAUCUUCCGCAAUGGGCGAAAGCCUGACGGAGCAACGCCGCGUGAGUGAUGAAGGUCUUCGGAUCGUAAAACUCUGUUAUUAGGGAAGAACAAAUGUGUAAGUAACUAUGCACGUCUUGACGGUACCUAAUCAGAAAGCCACGGCUAACUACGUG